Molecule: ribosomal RNA, 433 nt
Filed under: uncultured bacterium
Lineage: Bacteria
Description: partial 16S ribosomal RNA
Rfam family: Bacterial small subunit ribosomal RNA
Source: RNAcentral
AACGAACGCUGGCGGCAUGCCUAACACAUGCAAGUCGAACGAUGCCUUCGGGCAUAGUGGCUCACGGGUGCGUCACGCGUGGGAAUCUGCCUUUCGGUUCGGAAUAAUUCAGGGAAACUUGAGCUAAUACCGGAUAACGUCGCAAGACCAAAGAUUUAACACCGAAAGAUGAGCCCGCGUAGUUUUAGCUUGUUGGUGAUGUAAAGGCUCACCAAGGCGACGAUCCUUAGCUGGUCUGAGAGGAUGAGCAGCCACACUGGGACUGAGACACGGCCCAGACUCCUACGGGAGGCAGCAGUGGGGAAUAUUGGACAAUCGGCGAAAGCCUGAUCCAGCAAUGCCGCGUGAGUGAUGAAGGCCUUAGGGUUGUAAAGCUCUUUUACCCGGGAAGAUAAUGACGGUACCGGGAGAAUAAGCCCCGGCUAACUCCGUG